UCCCUCUGUAGCAUCCACCAAUGACUGGCGGAUUGUGACAGCACUGGGGAAUGGAUAUGAGGCAGACAUGGCCAUGAGACAGAGUGGAGCUGCACCAUCUGUCAGGUCACUAAGAAUGGCAAGGCUUCUGCUCUGCCCUGUCACCACCAGUUCUGCCUGGGCUGUAUCCUGCGGUGGGCAAAAAGAAAUCCAGCAUGCCCUCUCUGCAGUCCACUCAAGACUGUCAGGUUUUCUGAGUGGGGUGGAGAGGACUACAUACAAUUUGUCAUCAGCUCCCCUGAAGAGUCACCAGAGACCAACAGACAGGCAGGGAGAACUUCCCUCCAUCUUACCAAAAAUAGCCUCCAUGGCUGCCACAAGCAGUGAGGGAAGACAAGCACACAAUCAAUAUGACUGAUAAGCAAGCUCUGAUUUAUUCAAAGAUCUUGUCAGUUUAUAUAGUCUUUUACAAGCAGCAACAAGCUGCUCAUUGUUGCUUUUACAAUGUCAGCAACAAGCUUCUCAUUGGUUAAUUAAUAAAGGUUCAUUAUUCUAUGUUCUCUUA
Molecule: long non-coding RNA, 544 nt
Organism: Vidua chalybeata
Lineage: Eukaryota; Metazoa; Chordata; Aves; Passeriformes; Viduidae
Exons: 2
Source: RefSeq, a predicted model, not a curated record